CCUACGGGUGGCAGCAGUGAGGAAUAUUGGUCAAUGGACGGAAGUCUGAACCAGCCAUGCCGCGUGCAGGAUGACGGCUCUAUGAGUUGUAAACUGCUUUUGUACGAGGAUAAACGCUGAUACGCGUAUCUGUCUGAAUGUAUCGUACGAAUAAGGAUCGGCUAACUCCGUGCCAGCAGCCGCGGUAAUACGGAGGAUUCAAGCGUUAUCCGGAUUUAUUGGGUUUAAAGGGUGCGUAGGCGGUCGGAUAAGUUAGAGGUAAAAUGCCGGGGCUUAACCUCGUCAUUGCCUCUGAUACUGUUCGACUAGAGAGUGGAUGCGGCAGGCGGAAUGAGUGGUGUAGCGGUGAAAUGCUUAGAGAUCACACAGAACACCGAUUGCGAAGGCAGCUUACCAAGCCACAUCUGACGUUGAUGCACGAAAGCGUGGGUAGCGAACAGGAUUAGAUACCCGGGUAGUC
RNAcentral lists this ribosomal RNA (460 nucleotides) under uncultured bacterium. RNAcentral's name for it is "partial 16S ribosomal RNA". It matches the Rfam family "Bacterial small subunit ribosomal RNA", at positions 338 to 795 of the family's 1533-position model. The record is from RNAcentral.